Molecule: ribosomal RNA, 918 nt
Filed under: Lepraria jackii
Lineage: Eukaryota; Fungi; Ascomycota; Lecanoromycetes; Lecanorales; Stereocaulaceae
Description: SSU rRNA
Rfam family: Bacterial small subunit ribosomal RNA
Source: RNAcentral
AAUAGCCUAACGGCUGAACCAGCAACUUGGAGGAAUGUAUAGCAAUAGCUGAUUGCACCAACAAAUAGUUGAUGCAAUAUUGACUCUGUCAAAUAAAAUUCUAGGUAGAAUUAUGAUAAUGACAUUGUCUGCCUAUAUGUCUUGACCAAAUUACGUGCCAGCAGUCGCGGUAAUACGUAGAAGACUAGUGUUAUUCAUCUUUAAUAGGUUUAAAGGGUACCUAGACGGUAAAUCAAGCCUUCACAGGGACUAAUUUACUAGAGUUACUUACGAGGGGGUAUUAAAGUACUGCAGGUGUAGAGAUGAAAUUCUGUCAUACCUCUUUUCAAAAGAAAAAUUAUGGCACAGGUAUAGGUGAAAGCAUCCCCUUAUGUGAUAACUGACGUUGAAGGACGAAGGCUUUGUGUCGCGAACAGGAUUAGAUACCCCAGUAGUCAAAGCAGAAAAUGAUGAAUGUCAUAGAUUAGAUAAAUAGUUUAUUCUAUAAAUGAAAAUGUAAGCAUUCCACCUCAAGAGUAAUUUGGCAACAUUGGAACUGAAAUCAUUAGACCGUUUCUGAAACCAGUAGUGAAGUAUGUUGUUUAAUUUGAUGAUCCGCAAAAAACCUUACCACAAUUUGAAUAUUUAUAUCUAUCUUUUUUUUCGUAAAAAAAUAAAAAGGUAAUAUAUUUACAAGCGUUGCACGGCUGUCUUCAGUUAAUGUCGCGAGACUUUGGUUAGUUCCAUUAAAUUAACGUAAACCCUUACUUUAUUUUUAUAUGAAGUAGUUCCCCGCUAUAUUGGAUAUGAUAACAGGGACUAAGACAAGUCAUCAUGGCCUAAAUAUUGUGGGCUAUAGACGUGCCACAUAAACCUUACAAAAGGGUGUGAAAUUGCGAAAUUGAGCUAAUCCCCCAAAAAUGGAUAAACAUUGUUAAU